This 1566-nucleotide long non-coding RNA is filed under the name Macaca mulatta (Rhesus monkey). Its description in RNAcentral is "lncRNA (ENSMMUG00000050803.1)". The record is from RNAcentral. Lineage: Eukaryota; Metazoa; Chordata; Mammalia; Primates; Cercopithecidae.
AUGAACCUGGGAGGCGGAGAUUGCAGUGAGCCGAGAUCGCGCCACUGCACUCUAGCCUGGGCAACAGAACGAAACUCCGUCUCAAAAAAAAAAAAUACAAAUACAUAUUUUCUGUUUUUUAUAUUAACUGGCAUGUCUUUCACGCAGCAAGUCCACUUCAGACCGGGCGCACUUUAUGUGCUCAGCCGCCUCAUGUGCUGCAAUUCCGUCUCGCUGACAGGAGGCUUCGAGGGACUGGCAACACCCCACGUUCCUGCAUUCCAGGGAAACAGAAGAAUAACUGGAUUAAGAGUCCAGGCUUUGGCAUCAGAAUCCCAGCUCUGCCACUUACUCACACUGAGUAAGUUCUCAAAUCCCUCGAAGCCUCCCCCUUGCAUCGUCCGUAAAAUGGGAGCAAUACUGGAGAGCUGCCCUGAGAGUCACAUACGACGAAAUAUACAAAGCAAACUACUAGGUCCUGGGCACACAGCCACACUCAGUGAUGGCUGCUUUUAUAAAUACCUUGAAGCAACGGAUUUGUUGCCAAUUUCCAAACCUAAAAAGCCCGAAAGGAUUAGACUGUUGACACAUCCCACCUCAUCCUCCGGUGCGGACGACACAGAUUCCUAGAGCGGCAGGACCACGGAGCACACAUGUCCUGCAGCCGCCUGGGAUUUAAACACACCCAUUUCACACAAAACUGCUGUCAUAACUUGCUAAAAUCUCUUUGGGCAAGCAUAAUUUAUCCAGUGUGUCCUGGGAGCUAGAAAUCACUCCUUCACACAAAAAGGAAAGAAGUCCCACCCUGUAAAAAGACAGCUCUGAGAAGACUAUGCCUUAUUAAACACAGCUACUUUCCUUUCCCAUGACAUUCUCAAUGUUGCAGAUCUCAGGCCUCAGCAGUAAGUUGGUUUUACUGGAUGCUGUAUUUACAUUUUUUGGUGUUGUGGGGAGGGAGAAGGGGCAAGGUAGGGACAAUGAAACCCAGCUACCGUUAUUCCCAGCUAGACAUUGAGAUUGACAUGUAGAAGAGGACCUGGUAUGGCCUGGCGCCUGCUGUGGGCCUCAUGGCUUGAGAGCAAGCCUCUCACUCUCCACCCCCUGCUCCCUGACAGACAGAGGAGAGGUCCCUCGGAGAUUUUUCUUCAGAUUGGGAAGGAACAUGAGCAUGAGGACAGAGGGACAGGGGAAAGGAUGGAGGACGAUCAUCCACCUACAAAGUCGGGGUCUUACUGCAAACUUUAUAGACAACCAUGUCAUUUAAGCAUUCCACAAGCACUGUCAUCCUCGUUUCACAGAUGACAGCCUCAGCAAGUCCCAGACGCCUGCCAAAGGGCUAGACUGCUGGCAACAAAGUCAUAAUGCAUAACCACCUGGCCCAGCGGUGCCAGCCCACCCCUGACUACGGGAGACGCUUCAGACUCCCCAGCAGGGAGAAUGUCACAGCCCUGCUGAAGGGGGAGGACGACAACUAGAAGAAACCAACGUCCACGUCACUUCCAGGAUCUGAACAGUCACACUGGACCACCCCUAGGUGAGAAGUGGACGGUCUAUCUCGGAUGCCAGGCCACAGGGAGUGGUUACAAC